Long non-coding RNA from Sinocyclocheilus grahami, 449 nucleotides. RefSeq lists it as uncharacterized. The transcript has 4 exons. NCBI's taxonomy places the organism in Eukaryota, Metazoa, Chordata, Actinopteri, Cypriniformes, Cyprinidae. The record is from RefSeq and is a predicted model, not a curated record.
GGAUUUUGCCGUUUGCUUUGACUGGCGGACUUGAGUGACCUCUAGUGGCCGACUGAGCAUUGACAUCCAAUGUGAUUCCGCAUGUUCCACGGUUUUUUUUUUGCUAAGGUGAACAUGCAAGACUCGCAAAAGCUUUUGGCUCAAGGGAAACAUGAUUCUAGUCUGGCCUGGCCCAUGUCCCGUUUUCAGUCUGGCUCAACCCCGCUGUUAGAAGACACUUUCUAUCACAGAAUAAAAAAAUGUAUCUUCGCUCUCUGCAAAUAGCACACGGUGGCAUGGAGAUUGCUUCUGUAGGUUGGUUCACAGAAAUGAACAAGAACUAAGGCCAUGUGUAACGUUAAAACUAGGCCAGUAGAACACCGAUGUCUAUAUGAAGAGAGGAAGUGCAAACUUAUUCCAGGAUCUGAUAUACAUUUGGAGUAGGGACACUAAGGAGGUUUUAUGUCUGA